UCGGUAAGGACUUCAUGGGCGGAGAGUGGAGAAGCCACCAUGCUAAUAUUGAAGCAGGGCAAAUUCUAGCUCUCAUUUUCUCAUUUUUCAUUUUCUCUCAUAUUUGUAUAAUCACCCUUGUCGUGAUGUUUUACUUUGUAAUCAUCAUACAUACAAUAUUUGAACUAUGGUAGAACUUACGUUGCACACGUCUGAUUUAUUGUAAUUUCAUUUUUUGAUUAUAUUUGGCUAUUUUGUGCUAGUGGAGUUAGAUCGAUUAAAAUUCUCU
This 268-nucleotide long non-coding RNA is filed under the name Elaeis guineensis (African oil palm). RNAcentral describes it as "long non-coding RNA (EGUI_LNC034922)". The record is from RNAcentral. Lineage: Eukaryota; Viridiplantae; Streptophyta; Magnoliopsida; Arecales; Arecaceae.